GGGAUAUGAAUGUGAGUGAAACACAAUCCUUAUAGUUCUGCUCUACAAGAAAUGUUUUUUUUUCCUAUAGGAGUGACUUGAUGACUUCAGUGGGAAUUCCUCAUAAACAAGAAGGGGAAAAGAUCAUCUGGAAUCUUCUGAAGGCAGGAGUCAGGGCCAGAAGUCCCCAGAAAGACCUACGCGAGAAGAGAAUCUCACCCGCUGCCUUGUCUCCAGAGACCCUGUCCUACGCUGAGGUUCAGGUCCUGGUCUAUUUCUUCUGUUGCUACAGAAUGUGCAGCCAUCUCUGGAAGGUUCAGAGACCUGUUCAAGCUCUUAUCAGAGCAAAAAUAAAACUCUGUAGUUUUCCCGUCCUUCACAAGUUUUCAUUGUCUUGUGUAACAUUAGACCUGCAUUAGAUGGCCGAUGGAUAAGGGAAUGAGAUUUAGAGACUACAUAACAUGCUGUGUAGGGAGAAGAUGUGAUCAGCUGAGAGGACACUGGACACAAAUGCAAUCUGGCUCCAAGUGUUUAAGAAAUGGACCAUUAUCAAGUUUAAAUACUGGGAGUGCAAUAAGUCAGUUGCAAGUCAGGUUGUUUCUACAGAGUUUACUUCAGGCUUUGUUUCUGCUUGUAUCUUCCUCCAUUCUGCUGAUGAUACCUGCCCAUAUAUCCAUCUCUGGUUCAUAGUCCUGCUUAUAGUGCAUGGGAAAUACUCCCAGUCUUUCCCAAGUCAUCACCUUUUCAACAUGAAAUUCCCCCCUAAAACCUCACUUCUUCAGUAUUGACCAUAAAAAAU
RNAcentral lists this long non-coding RNA (778 nucleotides) under Anser brachyrhynchus (Pink-footed goose). Its description in RNAcentral is "lncRNA (ENSABRG00000004503.1)". The record is from RNAcentral. Lineage: Eukaryota; Metazoa; Chordata; Aves; Anseriformes; Anatidae.